AAAUGUUGGGCCCUUCUGCUAUAGAAGUAACCCCCAACAGAAAAAUCUAGGCUGUCCAGUGUAGUGAGGGUAGUGUGUGAGGCUGAUAAUUUCACUGUAUAAAAGCAGUUGUUGUGUAGGCUGUUAUGAAUUAUUGAUAUAAAUCUGAAUAUCAACUUGGCACACAGAACAAGGUUAAAGAUUAUGCAGGAUUUGAGGUUCUCAUAGGUGGUUACGAAGAGUUCUCUCUUUUCGGAUGUAAUGUGUGAAGUAUGCUGAAAAUUAACCUGACAUUUCAGAGGAAACUUGCAACCUGCUUCACGCUUGUUCCCCCCUUCAUUCUUUGACCCCAAAGAUGAGGAUUAUACAUGUUCCUACAAAAGUUGGUUGAUUUUCAGCAUACUGCGCAGUGUUUUUUCCCAGAAGAUAGACCUCUUGAUAUAUAAAUACAAAAGUAGAAGUACUGAAAGUGAAUAGCUGGUGUCUGGAGAUGUUGGGGAGGGAGGUCCAGAUAAAGUUGGCACAGGAGGCUAAGACUCAAGUCAGGUUGUUCAGCCAAGAAGAACACAAAGCACUGGUAUUUUGUUAGUGGUUUGUUUUUGAGUGCUUCCAUUGUCACGUGGUAUGAUGAUAGAUGAACUGGAAAUGAUUUGGAAGGAAGUGGUCAUUACCUAAUUGCUGUACUAUCCUGGUAUGGUGUGGAGAGACUGAGGAAAACCACUAAAACCUUGGUCAGAAUAGUUUGUGUUAGUCAAGUUAUGAACUGAGUAUCUCCUGAAUACAAGCCUAAAGCAGUGCUGUUGGUAUUGAUUGUGUUCUGAGGGAACUAUUGGUGUUCCAGGUUCUGCAACGUAAUGGUGCCUGUGUGUGAACUGGUUGUCUUCAGAAGUGCUGCAGAAGAUGGGCCAUUUUGAAGUGUCAGUCAAGCCAUGUGAUGAAGGGUGCAGUUAUCUCCUUCCUGUUGGUAGUGAUGGCAGCACAUAUCAAGUCGGAAUCCAGAACACGAAGGAAGCUGUAGAAUCACAUGUCAUGGACUGGCUAUUGGCCUGAUCGGAGCUCCAGGUGCAACAGGUUAUGGUGAUGUGUUCCAUUGCAUUUCCUUCCCUGCCACAGCUACAUCAUUGUUUUGAUGUUCAGUCUUAAAAAUGCACCAGACAUAAGAUUACAUCACAUCAUGUAAGCAGAAUAAUAGAACUGAUAUAAAUACAGGUUCUGGGGUCCAGUGUCAUGCAACCAGAGGGCAGCUGCCUGCAUGUUACUUGUAAUUUAGCCCUGCAGCAUGUUCCUCUGAAACACUGGUAGCCACCAGCAGAACUACACGGUCUCAUAGCCCAGAAGAGCUCAGUGUUUAUAAAUAAUGUUUUUGUUGUGGUGAAAAGUUAUUGAAAGACACUGUAAAAAUUAUGUACCCCUAAACAACAGACCAACGACCCGAAAUUAACAAAUUUGAGCAUGUGAUGGAUAGGAAGGAUAUUAAUGCAUGUCUGCAAUGAAUGAAAAUGGGAAAUGUAGAAGAAAGCAGAUUUGCAAAGAACACAUUUGGGAAAUAUGUAUACUGCACUGUUACUGGAAGAUGUGAGAUUUAUAUUCUGUCUCAAUAAAUUCUGUCCUACUGUAGGCUGUUCACAGUUUGAUGUCUGUGUCUCUGGUAUAACCCACCCUCCAUAUAGCCCUGUUCUCUCUUGCUGUGUGUCUAUUUACGUUUGUAUCAACACUGUGUUUCCAGAAAUGUUACUUCCUUCAUCAGAUCUACAAAUCCAGUCUCCCCUCAAAAUAAUUAUGCACAGUGAAAUCCUGAUCUCGAGGAACAGAUCACACAAGUGGACCUGGCUACAGGACCAGUUCUCCCCUUGUAGGUGUGUAGUGUGCUUGAAGCUGGAUGGUUUCCACAGUGGACACUGACUUUUGUUCUUGCAUCCAGGAUUUGUAUAUUGGCAGAGUGUGAGCUGUAUCAGUGAAGAAAAUCUGUGUCGAGUUUGUGGGUGAGCUAGGAUUGUGCAUCAUCUGGCUCUUCAGCUGUGCACCAACUAUGAGGAGCCCCUAUACCACAUGCCAGAUAGUAGUCCAUGCUGGACAAGUGUGUGUGCAGGGCACUUCCAAGAUGGUGCAGUCUGUGGAUGCAAGAAUUCCACAACCAGAGGAGUUUGUGCACACACUGGGAAAGUGUGUGGCUUCCACACAAGAUCAGCAUUUACUGGAGGUCAUAGUGUGAUGGCAUUUGAAAAUGUUGUCCUUCUGCUGCUAUGUAUCUGUCUCUUGUAGAAGACUGCCAGCCUCACUGCCAUUCAUGACCUGAUUUUAUAUAAAAUGUGGUAGCCUUAAUGUCUCACAACCCUAUGGGCCUCCAUAGCCUGUUACAGAGAUAGCUUUACUUUUUAUGCAGCUGUUUCUUGCUUUUUAUAUUCAGUGUCCAGUUUACUUCUGAAUGUGCUGUUACACGUGUAUUGUGGUUAGUGAAGGGAAGGCACUUAGGUUAGAAGAGUGAGCAGUUGCUGCAGCCCCUAAUCUUGCUGACUGUGGUGUAGAUUAGAAAUGUAAACCCUGCAGUUGGUUGAGAUUCUGUUACUAGUGUUUAGGACCAUUUUGAAUAUAGUACAGAGUAGUACACGACAUUGGUGUGUUAUAAAAAUUGACAUGUUACAGUCUAAUGUGGAACAUUUCACUCUCUUGUGUAGCAUACUGUGUGUUCAGUAUAUUUUCAUGUGUCACAGUGACUAAAGAUGGGGUUCAAGUUGGAUCUGUUAACCACCUCGAGAUCGUAAGUAAAUUAAUUAUUGCACUAUUGCUGCUUUACACAAUUUGCAAUCACUCCACACUAAAAUCUUCCUUUUAUCUAAACUAGUCUUCACAGAUUUCUAACACAAGAACCAUAACAGCCUCACUCAAUUACACACUCCAAAUAUUACACAUAAAUAAAUUGUUCACAGACCGACUUCUAAUUCUUCCAUGAUAUGUAUG
Molecule: long non-coding RNA, 2937 nt
Organism: Cryptotermes secundus
Lineage: Eukaryota; Metazoa; Arthropoda; Insecta; Blattodea; Kalotermitidae
Exons: 6
Source: RefSeq, a predicted model, not a curated record